CAGACAGAGCUCCUGGGUUAGGAGAUGGAUGGAGACACGCACUCCUUUUCACCCCAGAAGUGAGCUUUCCAGACACACCUGAAAGAUGGAUCAGGA
Molecule: long non-coding RNA, 96 nt
Organism: Alosa sapidissima (American shad)
Lineage: Eukaryota; Metazoa; Chordata; Actinopteri; Clupeiformes; Clupeidae
Exons: 3
Source: RefSeq, a predicted model, not a curated record